GCCCUGGUGUUUGUACGUUAUACGGGGAUUAGGGUUCGAUUCCGGAGAGGGAGCCUGAGAAACGGCUACCACAUCCAAGGAAGGCAGCAGGCGCGCAAAUUACCCAAUCCCGACACGGGGAGGUAGUGACAAUAAAUAACAAUACGGGGCUCAUUUGGGUCUCGUAAUUGGAAUGAGUACAAUUUAAAUCUCUUAACGAGGAACAAUUGGAGGGCAAGUCUGGUGCCAGCAGCCGCGGUAAUUCCAGCUCCAAUAGCGUAUAUUAAAGUUGUUGCAGUUAAAAAGCUCGUAGUUGAACUUCGGGGUUCACCCAUUGGUCAGGCUUAAUUGUUUGUACUGGUGAGAUGAGUCUCUACCUUCUGAGGAACUUUCAUGCCAUUUAUUUGGUGUGAUUGGAAAUCAGGACUGUUACUUUGAAAAAAUUAGAGUGUUUAAAGCAGGCUAACGUCUGAAUACAUUAGCAUGGAAUAAUGAAAUAGGACGGAUUGAUUCUAUUUCGUUGGUUUCUAGGAUCACCGUAAUGAUUAAUAGGGAUAGUUGGGGGCAUUAGUAUUCAAUUGUCAGAGGUGAAAUUCUUGGAUUUAUUGAAAACUAACUACUGCGAAAGCAUUUGCCAAGGAUGUUUUCAUUAAUCAAGAACGAAAGUUAGGGGAUCGAAGACGAUCAGAUACCGUCGUAGUCUUAACCAUAAACUAUGCCGACUAGGGAUCGGACGCAGUUAAUUUUAUAAUGACGUGUUCGGCACCUUACGGGAAACCAAAGUGUUUGGGUU
RNAcentral lists this ribosomal RNA (772 nucleotides) under Diversispora epigaea. RNAcentral describes it as "SSU rRNA". It matches the Rfam family "Eukaryotic small subunit ribosomal RNA", at positions 341 to 1113 of the family's 1831-position model. Lineage: Eukaryota; Fungi; Glomeromycota; Glomeromycetes; Diversisporales; Diversisporaceae. The record is from RNAcentral.